Molecule: ribosomal RNA, 506 nt
Filed under: uncultured bacterium
Lineage: Bacteria
Description: partial 16S ribosomal RNA
Rfam family: Bacterial small subunit ribosomal RNA
Source: RNAcentral
AGUGAACGCUGGCGGUAGGCCUAACACAUGCAAGUCGAACGGCAGCACAGAGGAGCUUGCUCCUUGGGUGGCGAGUGGCGGACGGGUGAGGAAUACAUCGGAAUCUACUCUGUCGUGGGGGAUAACGGAGGGAAACUUACGCUAAUACCGCAUACGACCUACGGGUGAAAGCAGGGGAACUUCGGACCUUGGGAGAUUGAAUGAGCCGAUGUCGGAUUAGCUAGUUGGCGGGGUAAAGGCCCACCAAGGCGACGAUCCGGAGCUGGUCUGAGAGGAUGAUCAGCCACACUUGAACUGGUACACGGUCCAGACUCCUACGGGAGGCAGCAGUGGUGAAUAUUGGACAAUGGGCGCAAUCCUGUUCCAGCCAUACCGCGUGGGUGAAGAAGGCCUUCGGGUUGUAAAGCCCUUUUGUUGGGAAAGAAAUCCAUCUGGUUAAUACCCGGGUGGGAUGACGGUACCCAAAGAAUAAGCACCGGCUAACUUCGUGCCAGCAGCCGCAGUAA